This 482-nucleotide ribosomal RNA is filed under the name uncultured bacterium. Its description in RNAcentral is "partial 16S ribosomal RNA". It matches the Rfam family "Bacterial small subunit ribosomal RNA", at positions 30 to 507 of the family's 1533-position model. The record is from RNAcentral.
AUUGAACGCUGGCGGCAUGCCUUACACAUGCAAGUCGAACGGUAACAGGUCUUCGGAUGCUGACGAGUGGCGAACGGGUGAGUAAUACAUCGGAACGUGCCCGAUCGUGGGGGAUAACGAGGCGAAAGCUUUGCUAAUACCGCAUACGAUCUACGGAUGAAAGCGGGGGAUCUUCGGACCUCGCGCGGACGGAGCGGCCGAUGGCAGAUUAGGUAGUUGGUGGGAUAAAAGCUUACCAAGCCGACGAUCUGCAGCUGGUCUGAGAGGAUGAUCAGCCACACUGGGACUGAGACACGGCCCAGACUCCUACGGGAGGCAGCAGUGGGGAAUUUUGGACAAUGGGCGAAAGCCUGAUCCAGCCAUGCCGCGUGCAGGAUGAAGGCCUUUGGGUUGUAAACUGCUUUUGUACGGAACGAAAAGCCUCUUUCUAAUAAAGAGGGGUCAUGACGGUACCGUAAGAAUAAGCACCGGCUAACUACGUG